This 546-nucleotide ribosomal RNA is filed under the name Fusarium sp. JJP-2009a. Its description in RNAcentral is "eukaryotic LSU rRNA". The stretch from base 214 to 367 matches the Rfam family "5.8S ribosomal RNA". The record is from RNAcentral. Lineage: Eukaryota; Fungi; Ascomycota; Sordariomycetes; Hypocreales; Nectriaceae.
GGUCAUUUAGAGGAAGUAAAAGUCGUAACAAGGUCUCCGUUGGUGAACCAGCGGAGGGAUCAUUACCGAGUUUACAACUCCCAAACCCCUGUGAACAUACCAAUUGUUGCCUCGGCGGAUCAGCCCGCUCCCGGUAAAACGGGACGGCCCGCCAGAGGACCCCUAAACUCUGUUUCUAUAUGUAACUUCUGAGUAAAACCAUAAAUAAAUCAAAACUUUCAACAACGGAUCUCUUGGUUCUGGCAUCGAUGAAGAACGCAGCAAAAUGCGAUAAGUAAUGUGAAUUGCAGAAUUCAGUGAAUCAUCGAAUCUUUGAACGCACAUUGCGCCCGCCAGUAUUCUGGCGGGCAUGCCUGUUCGAGCGUCAUUUCAACCCUCAAGCCCAGCUUGGUGUUGGGACUCGCGAGUCAAAUCGCGUUCCCCAAAUUGAUUGGCGGUCACGUCGAGCUUCCAUAGCGUAGUAGUAAAACCCUCGUUACUGGUAAUCGUCGCGGCCACGCCGUUAAACCCCAACUUCUGAAUGUUGACCUCGGAUCAGGUAGGAAU